AAAUAUUAUACAACAUUAAUAUAAUAUAAUGUUAACAUAAUACAAUCAAAAGCAACUUACCAAACAUUAAAUAAUACAAUGUAAUAUAAUAUGUCAAACUCACAUUUAAUAUAAUAUAAUGUAAUAAACACACGGUGAUGUCACCACUGAUAUAAACGCACCUUAUCACUAAAUUGUUGAAAAGUACAACUUAUUUAUUUCCAUUAACAAGUACACAAGCUAACUUAACCAUAUGAAGAGGCAGAAAGGCGCGGACUAAGAAGCACUUCAAGUGGAGUAGCUUUAGCAAUGGAUAGGCCCAUUGACUCUCCCAUGUCAACCGGUUCACCUGAUGGGGUUGUAAAAUCAAACCCACGCACUAAUGAAGCAAGCAUUAGUGGCAUAACUUGAAGGCCAUAUGACACUGCAGGACACAUCCUUCUUCCGCUGCCAAAUGGUAUCAAUUCAAAAUCUUGUCCCCCAACAUCAAUAUCCUUAUGCCUAGUAAGAAAUCUUUCUGGCUGAAAUUGACAUGGCUCCUCGAUUCAUUCACUGGCCUUUCAGUGCCAACCUGAAUGUCUAUUUCAUCUCGUGCCUUCUUCAGAACCUCGGGAUUGUUGAGAAGUAAAGCAAUAGCCCAUGUCAAUGUAACUACUGUGGUCUGUGUACCCGCUACGAUUAGACUCUGCAAAUUAAAAGCAGUAAGAAAUCUGUGACAUUCGUAUAACAAUACAACACAAACGCACCACAAGCUUUUCAUGAGGAUAUAUUAUACCAAGCAGAUUGCUUUAAUGACAGUGUCAGCAUCGCGAUCAGGAAGCUGCUCUGCAUUAUCAUCAAGUAGGGACAACAACACAUAUAUGAAAUCCUCGUCGCCCUUAACUUCACCAGAAACUCUUUUCAUCUUGUGCUCAUCCAACCAUUCUUGCAAAAUAAUGUCAAAAUAUUUAGCUGUCUUGCUCAUUAAUCUCUCAUAUCCACCGAUAUCUAACCGUCUCAGAAAGGGCAACGCAUCGGACACCACGAACUGACCAAACAAGGCAGCGAUCUUUGUUAUUUGCUGUUGCCAAUCAUUAGCCUCUUCUGAUUGUGAAGUGUGAAGUUUUCCGGCAAUUAUUCUCAAAAGAAUGUCAAGUACUGUGCCCUCGAUCCAAUGGAUCAUCUCCACCGGAACUACUUUACGUGAACUGCUGCUACUUAUGCAAUUCUUGUAUAACCUCUGGAUUGAAGCCUUCACUUCCGAUUCACGUACGUGUUUGAGCUUCUCAAGGCGACGAUUUGACAGAAGCUCAAUUGUCACUAUCUUACGUGACUGACGCCAGUAGUUGCCAUAUGGUGCGAAGCCUAUGACCGAAAAGUUGUACCCCAUAAGCUCUACGGCCAUUCUUUUGGGGCGACUUGCAAAAGCUUUGUCAUUUGUGGUAAAACACUCCUUAGCAAUUUCCCAGUUGCUCACCACUAAAGCUUGUUUCACCCCCAACUUCAUAGUGAAUAUUGUUCCAUAUUUGUCAGCCAGGUUGCCCAAAACUCUGUGAGCUGGCUCUGGCCCUCGUAAGAGAUGUAGGUGGCCUAUCAAAGGCCAUGCUCCCCCUGCUACCGGUGCUUGUUGAGAUUGCUUAUUCUUGCGUAUCCUUUUUUGCCCAUUUCUUGAAAUCAAGUGGAAAAUUGAGAGGAAUAUCACUAAGGCUGAAAUUGCUACAGCAGCAGUCGAUUCUGUUGAAAGAUUAUUCAUGGCCAUCCCUUUUGCAACCGACUCGGGGACUCUGAAUGAAGAGUUUAGUUCAGAGCAAUGUCUAUACAGUAUAUAGAUAACAUUUAAGUGUGCUUUGUCAAUGCCGGGCAAAGGAAAAUGAAGAAAGAAGACAAAAGAGGAAGAAUUAAAAAAAAUUGAGAGGAAAAUAUGUCAAGGGUAGGUACCGGAUGUUUAAAAAAGAAAAAAAUAAAUUCAAAGCUCAAAAUUUCAAAGUUUGAAAACUCGAAAUUUGCAGUUGUAUUGGUUGAAGAUUAAAGCCACCUUUUUGACUUGGUAAACUUCAUUUGCUUUAAAAAUUUGCCACAGAAUAUAAAACAUGCCUUAUUUUAAUAUGGACAAUUAUAUGGGAUGACAAAAGUACCUGGACUUGAAUAUUAUGGGUCGGGAAGCGUAAACCAAACUACGGUGUCAGCAACACAAAUAAAAAAUUAUCUUUUGUCCAUCAAUUAUAUUGUUUUAUCACUUGGGUCCAUUUACUUUUUGUCAUUACGAAAGUUCUUGGAAUCUCUUAUUUGUGUUUCUUAAUAUAGACGUAUGAUUGGAGAGAUUUGGCUUUGUGACUGAAUCUAGAUAUGAGUUUUUUUUUUUUUUUUUUUUUUUCAAAAAAGUAUGCAGUCAAAAUUAUUGAGAGAGUAGGAAAGAUAAAAUAUUCAGUUUUUGUUUAAUUGCGUUAUGAUAUUCUUCCAAAUUAAUAAUUCAAUUUCAAUAUUCUUUUUUACUCAUGCAGCAAUGUCAACUUCAGAAGAAAUGAUGAUUGGAUUAGGCGUGGUUGUCAAAAAUAUUUUAUCUUUCUGAUUAGCUUUGUGUGAAAACAGAAUGGUUUGCGAAAAUGUUUUAUCUUUCUGAUUUCCAAAAAUAUUAUUAUUGAAAAAAGAAGAAUUGUUUUUAUUUAAUAUAAAUUUGAUUUAUUAUAUUUAUUUUUUUUCUGUGGCAGACCUUCAAGCGUCGGAUGGCAAAUGCUGCCCCAAAGUAUACAAUUACAAACGGCAAUUGUGUGGCAUUACGGGAAAGAAGAUUCAUUUUUUCAGUUCUUCCAUAUUUUUGUAAAAUCGUGUCAUGAUAAAUUUUGCGGAUGUAUUGGUCAAAUCAUACAGUUAGACUAGACUAGAGUUGUUUAUUGGUAUCUGCGCAUCCCCGCUACCACGAUGGUUAGGAAUACCAGUUACAAUUAGACAUUUGAUUUUUAUCAUAUCUUAUAACACAAAUAUUAUUUAAUUAUUCCGUCUUCUCACUUCCAAGUUACUAAAAAUUCAUGAUGUUAAGUUUGCAAUUAAAAAUUAAUUAAUAUGCCUUUUGUUUGAUGUAAUUUGACACAAUUUUUUUUUUUUAAAUUUUGGGUUGUGAAUGGAUGAAAAGGACAAGGCCAUCAAGAGGUUCCUUGAGAGGAACAUUGUUGAGCAAGAGACGUGCAGGAUGCCUGCAUCUAUGAUAGUAAAUAUCUACUACACAUGUUAUUAUUUCUCUUAUUUUGUAAUUAAUUAUGUAUUGUUUGAAUGGGAAAUAAUGGGAAUCUUUUGAAUUCGAUGCAGACUAUGUUCUGCUUAAGUUGUAUGCAAAGAUGCCGUACUGUGUCUCCUGUGCAAUUCACUCGCAUGUGGUGAGGGUUCGCUCACGCACUGACCGCAGGAACCGUGAACCACCAAAGCGUUUUAUGAGACGCAGGGUAUCUUUUUCAUGUUUCUAUUGAGAUUUUUUAAUCAGGAUUUUGGCUAAUGGUCUCUGUUCAUAUUGAUUUUUAGAAUGAUUUACGGGUUAUAGACGUAGGCAGAUAGACCUUUUACCUAGUGUGCUUUAUCAUAAGGAUUUCCUUGCUAGUAGUAAUAUCCUGAUUCAGCCAGUUUAAAAUGCAUAAUUCUGAGUUAACCUAAGAGAAAGGGGGGAGGGGUGGUGCGGAGGAAAGAGGAAAAAAAGGAGACAGUGUUGUGCCUCUGUGUGGUAGCUUUUUCCUUUGUUUUACGAGAACUAAAAGCCCAAAUUGAGGAUGUGUUUUUGGUCUUGGGAUAAUUGCUGUGUGAUAUCUGUAGCAUUUGAAAAAUGGUUAAGCUUGUCAGUUUUAUAUGGUCUUCGUUUGUGCUCGCGUACUUGAAAAUUUUCUUCAUUGGCUCUUAUAUUUUUUUUUCUUUUUUUUCCCUUUUUCUUUUCAGGAUGAUUUGCCAAAGCCUGGUCAGCCUGGUCAAGCGCCACGCCCAGCCAUUGGAGUUCCAGUUCGCCCAUGAAGUCUAUUCCCAUUCUUAAUCUGUUAUUAUACUUUUAGAUACCCAGAAGAACUUGAAUUUUGUGUAGGAAGUUUCAAUGUUUCCCGCUCAUUCGUUUUCAAAGUCUUAAGAAUUAUUGUUAAAUUUUUAGGAUUUUUAAUUUCAAUGAGAAUUAUAAAAUUUUGUAGUGGUAGGAAUUCAUUUCAGUAUAUUGAGAACGUAUUUCACACUUGGUCCAUUAAGUUUGAUAGGCUCUAGUUUUUUACCCUUUUAAGGUUAUCAAGUCAAGCUUACUGUCACACCAAGGUUAAGGUGAAAUUCGGAAUCUUCAUCUUAAGGGACCUUUGGAAUUAACAUGUUUUCAAGUUGGAAAAAUUAGCUGCAAAAUAAGUUAAUUAUAAACAUUUAUACAUAUUUAAUGAGUUUCUUAAUUUUAUGUUACUUAGCUAAUUUAGGAGUUUUAAUAUUUGAGUUUCAACUUGACUCUUAAUAUUAUAUAACUCAUUAUGAUGAACUUCAUAACUCGUGAAAUUUUUAAUUUACCAUUUAAUAAAUAAAUGUUACAUCAGUUGGAAUUUAAAAGAAAUUAAGAUACGAAAUAGGUAAAAUGUUGUUGAUUUUUAUUUGGAGUAAAAUUGUCGUUUAUAGUUUUAUGGGAGAUAACAUUUUGUACAAUCUUUACUCCACAGUGAAAAUUAAAUGACUUGUCAUUUAUAGAUGUAAGACAUAUUAGAUAAUGUUUAAGGAUCUUGUAUGAUGUAUCAUUUAUAUUUUUGAACGUGAAUCCUCUUCAAAUCUUUUUUCUAUACUAGCCUCUCUUAAUAAAAUGAGUAGUCUUGACUCUUGAAAUUUUUUUAAAUUUUAAUGUUAAUAAUUAAGGCAGACUUGUUUCACUUUGUUUACAAUUAAGUCAAUUUUUUUUAAAACUAGAAUUGGAAUAUUGAGAGAGACUAUGAGAGGAAAAAAAAAAGACUAGGAAAGAAUUCUAAGUCUAUAUUUUCAGCUAUGAUGAAUUGAUAUGUAUUGAUUUAUUUAAACAAAAUUAAUUUAAAUUUAAUUAUGUUAUAUUAGUUAAUCGGUGAUAAUUGCGUCAAAGUAUACCUUGUAUGAAACUAUAUUAAAAUCAAAUCAUAAUUUUUUACUGAAACUCAGGAAUCGGUUUCUUCCAAGUCAAUAUAAUUAAAAGAAAAAUGAUAAACAAACUAAAGAAAGACUAAAGGACGAUAGAAACGGUGGCGUGAGCUUGUUGUUUCAUGCGUUCCCUUAGGCCAAUUUAUAAAUGCAUGGGACCACAAUAAAUAAUAAAAUAAAGAAUAAAAAAAUGAAAAAGCAGCUCAAAUUUUUUCCUUUUAGUUUUAUCUUUUUCCUUAUACGUUAUCUAGCAAUAUCUCCUCCCUCCCCAGCCACUCAUUUUCUUCGUUUGGAAACGGUAGCACUUCGUUAACUUCGUCCCCUCCUUUCGUUCCUUUUGUUAACUUCAUCCCCAUCACUCCCUUCGUUCCCUUCGUUACCGGAUGACGACCGCUUCUUGUUCUCGCCCAACCGCUUUUUUUUUUUUUCUUUUGAUUUGUAACUUCAUGCUUAGUGAAGUUAAAUGUGCAUAUGACUCGCUUGAAUACUAAAUUAGCAAUACAUAAAGUACAGAUUAUGGGUAAUUAAUUUAUGCUUAAAACAAUACAAAAGUAUAGCCAACCCCUUUGCUCCCUGCCAAAAAUAGCAUUAAAAAUUCCAUGUACUAUUCAACGCAAAAUCACAUGUCAUAUAUUUUCUUUUUGAUGAACUUGGUUUCCUUGAAUCUUCUCAAAUUGAAGAAAGGGGUGAAAAAGGGAAUUGAGGCGACAAAUGUCCUCAACUAUCCACAUAUUCUAAACCAAAUAUGAUUGCAUAUCAAUAUAUAGUUAAUAAACCCCUAUAUUUGCCUUUGUUUGCAGAUCCAGAUCUAACUUCUUCCUUAUGGCCCUUUUUUUUUUUUUGGUUGCUGAAAUUGAGCAGUUGGAAAUACAGAAAUUAAUAAGCGAGAUGCAGAGAGAUAGAGAGGACAUGAAACUGAUUUGUCUUUGUUAAAUGCAAAAUAUGGCUCACGUUAAAUGCACAACUAAAAGAGAGGUGAGAGAUGCAGAGAGAGAGAGGACAAAAAAAAUUGAUUGUUAAAUGCUUUAUUGGCUCACGCGCCAUGCUCAAUUUAAUUUUUUAAACUGAUUGUGGGCCCAAUUUGGAAUUCACGCGUGCUCAUUUUCUAAAGAGAGAGAGGACACGAAACAUUUCUGUCUUCUUUUUGUCUUCCUUAAGUCUAAAUAGCAGCACUUUAAUUAAAAUCAUUUUAAUCCACCCUUUUCAUAAUUCAUUGCGUCCUUCGUUCCGUAUCAUAAUUUUUUACUGAAACUCAGGAAUCGGUUUCUUCCAAGUCAAUAUAAUUAAAAUCAUUUUAAUCCACCCUUUUCAUAAUUCAUUGCGGCCUUCGUUCCGUUCAAAAUCUUGCAGAAAAAUGAUAAACAAACUAAAGAAAGACUAAAGGACGAUAGAAACGGUGGCGUGAGCUUGUUGUUUCAUGCGUUCCCUUAGGCCAAUUUAUAAAUGCAUGGGACCACAAUAAAUAAUAAAAUAAAGAAUAAAAAAAUGAAAAAGCAGCUCAAAUUUUUUCCUUUUAGUUUUAUCUUUUUCCUUAUACGUUAUCUAGCAAUAUCUCCUCCCUCCCCAGCCACUCAUUUUCUUCGUUUGGAAACGGUAGCACUUCGUUAACUUCGUCCCCUCCUUUCGUUCCUUUUGUUAACUUCAUCCCCAUCACUCCCUUCGUUCCCUUCGUUACCGGAUGACGACCGCUUCUUGUUCUCGCCCAACCGCUUUUUUUUUUUUUCUUUUGAUUUGUAACUUCAUGCUUAGUGAAGUUAAAUGUGCAUAUGACUCGCUUGAAUACUAAAUUAGCAAUACAUAAAGUACAGAUUAUGGGUAAUUAAUUUAUGCUUAAAACAAUACAAAAGUAUAGCCAACCCCUUUGCUCCCUGCCAAAAAUAGCAUUAAAAAUUCCAUGUACUAUUCAACGCAAAAUCACAUGUCAUAUAUUUUCUUUUUGAUGAACUUGGUUUCCUUGAAUCUUCUCAAAUUGAAGAAAGGGGUGAAAAAGGGAAUUGAGGCGACAAAUGUCCUCAACUAUCCACAUAUUCUAAACCAAAUAUGAUUGCAUAUCAAUAUAUAGUUAAUAAACCCCUAUAUUUGCCUUUGUUUGCAGAUCCAGAUCUAACUUCUUCCUUAUGGCCCUUUUUUUUUUUUUGGUUGCUGAAAUUGAGCAGUUGGAAAUACAGAAAUUAAUAAGCGAGAUGCAGAGAGAUAGAGAGGACAUGAAACUGAUUUGUCUUUGUUAAAUGCAAAAUAUGGCUCACGUUAAAUGCACAACUAAAAGAGAGGUGAGAGAUGCAGAGAGAGAGAGGACAAAAAAAAUUGAUUGUUAAAUGCUUUAUUGGCUCACGCGCCAUGCUCAAUUUAAUUUUUUAAACUGAUUGUGGGCCCAAUUUGGAAUUCACGCGUGCUCAUUUUCUAAAGAGAGAGAGGACACGAAACAUUUCUGUCUUCUUUUUGUCUUCCUUAAGUCUAAAUAGCAGCACUUUAAUUAAAAUCAUUUUAAUCCACCCUUUUCAUAAUUCAUUGCGUCCUUCGUUCCGUUCAAAAUCUUGCAGUUGGCCAAAAAAAAAAAAAACCCUUGGGUGCAUAUGGGCAAUAACUCCUGUGUGCGGAGACGCAAUUACAUCGCUAAAUUCUGAGUACUUCUGGAAAAGCUAGGCAUGGCUUCUGUUGCCAGUCUUGUCCAUACCGACAUUACUUAGCCUAUGUUUUCUGGUAGCCCUGAAGUUCCUUGGUGAUCCUGAUGCAUACUACCAUGGGACAAUUUGUCUUGAUUGCAUUGGAAGCAAUGUGUCACCUACUUGCUACGUAUCCCUCCUGCAAUAGUCACUAGGCAUGGUCAUACAAGGAAAUGCAGAAUGGAGCUGUGGACAUUGUUUCUUUAUGCCCAGUUGAGGGAAGAAUAAUUGCCUUAUUUUACAGCUUUCCCAAGAUAUAAAUCCUUCAUAUGACACAAAGGCUUGGUAUGUAAUAAACAUUGUUGAUGCUGAAAUUAGGUCGCCCUUUGCCCGACCAGAUCGAAUCACCAACGUUUGUGUCGAGGAUGAUGAGAAGGCUAUGCUUCACAAGCUUCUGCACUUUUCCAAGCUCCUAAAACUUAAAUGACUUAUCUUCUUCCUUCCUCACCUGCAUUCACAAAAACAAAUCAGAGACGCCGGUGGUUUUUACGGCGUAAACCCUCUGAUGCUUAAGUCAGUACAAGGUGUUUGCGGGAAAACAGUACGAUUCAAGUUGCACAGAUUAACUGCAAUAUUCUUAACACCAAAUAUGUUAAGGAUUUGUACAAAAUAAAUUUUGGUAUUAAUUUGGUAGAGUUUCCCAUUUUCUCUCAAUUUUUGUCCCUUUUUUUUCAUUGAUUUCUCAGUUUCUUGUAGGCAAUCAUCCCACGUUCUCUGAGUAUUUUUCAUGCCUGUCAUAUUCAGGUGAUCAUGGACCUUCAUGGGUCUUCAACCACCGAAUGUGGGCAAACGUGGGUAAACGCGUUCUCCCCUGUGGUUUGGGGCAUGGCGAAACUGUCGUGUGUUCGUGAGAUUGUGUCCUCUUUCUUUUAGUGACGAGUACUUGGUCGGUAUUCACUUCUGGUCGGCUCGUGCUCCAUAAAAAAUACACGACUAGGAAUCUGCUCGUUAUCCUCAGUUAGGUAAACUCGCCAUCGGCUAAGAAAUGGGGAGAUGUCUGACUGAUACUUUUUAUUACUCAACAAACACUUUAAAGAGUCUACUGCAAGAAUACCUUUUGCAUGGUGCUCAUCAUGGUCUCUAAGGAAGGAGAAUUAAUCUUUGCACGGCUUGCCAGCUAAUGAAGUUAGAAAAAUCACCAACUACAUGGAAUUUCAACACAACAAUGCAGAAUAAAUGACAGAAGAAUAGUUUUGUCAUUUAACAAACCGAAGAAAUUAACGAAAGUCAAGGACCUCAUCCAGUUUGAUGUAUCCAAAUUGCAAUCUGGGGUCACUUUCAUCUGUCAUCCGUGAUAAAUUUUUUCCCAAAUCAGUUCAUGUGCCAUUACCAACCCAUCCCACUUCUCAUCUUCGAAUCUUUUUUCUCUACUAGCUUCUCUUAAUAAAAUGAGUAGUCUUGACUCUUGAAUUUUUUGAAUUUUAAUGUUAAUAAUUUAGGUUUCACUUUGUUUACAAUUAAGUUAAUUUUUUUUUAAACUAGAAUUGGAAUAUUGAGAGAGACUACGAGAGGGAAAAAAAAAGACUAGGAAAGAAUCCUAAGUCUAUAUUUUCAGCUAUGAUGUGUAUUGAUUUAUUUAAAGAAAAUGAAUUUAAAUUUAAUUAUGUUAUAUUAGUUAAUCGGUGAUAAUUGCAUCAAAGUAUACCUUGUAUGAAACUAUAUUAAAAUCAAUUCAUAAUUUUUGACUGAAACUCAGGAAUCGGUUUCUUCCAAGUCAAUAUAAUUAAAAUCAUUUUAAUCCACCCUUUUCAUAAUUCAUUGCGGCCUUCGUUCCGUUCGUCCAAAAUCUUGCAGUUGGCCAAAAAAAAAAUCCCUUGGGUGCAUAUGGGCAAUCAACUCCUGCCUACGGAGACGCAGUUACAUCGCUAGGCAUGGCUUCUGCUGCCAGUCUUGUCCAUACCAACAUCACUUAGCCUAUGUUUUCUGGCAGCCCUGCAGUUCCUUGGCGAUCCUGAUGCAUACUACCAUGGGACAAUUUGUCUUGAUUGAAUUGGAAGCAAUGUGUGACCUGCUUGCUACGUAUCCCUCCUGCAAUAGUCACUAGGCAUGGUCAUACAAGGAAAUGCAGAAUGGAGCUGUGGACAUCGUUUCUUUAUGCCCAGUUGAGGGAAGAAUAGCUGCCUUAUUUUACAGCUUUCCCAAGAUAUCAAUCCUUCAUAUGACACAAAGGCUUGGUAUGUAAUAAACACUUUAAACUGCUGUACGGCCAAGGCGGAUGUACGGUACAGCAGACUCAGGAAUCGGUUUCUUCCAAGUCAAUAUAAUUAAAAUCAUUUUAAUCCACCCUUUUCAUAAUUCAUUGCGGCCUUCGUUCCGUUCGUCCAAAAUCUUGCAGUUGGCCAAAAAAAAAAUCCCUUGGGUGCAUAUGGGCAAUCAACUCCUGCCUACGGAGACGCAGUUACAUCGCUAGGCAUGGCUUCUGCUGCCAGUCUUGUCCAUACAUCCAGUUUGAUGUAUCCAAAUGGCAAUCUGGGGUCACUUUCAUCUGUCAUCCGUGAUAAAAUUUUUCCCAGAUCAGUUCAUGUGCCAUUACCAAGCCAUCCCACUUCUCAGCUGAAUUUAAUUUCUGUGAUGUGUGUAACAUCAUGAAGAGGGCCCGUCCAUAGGGGCUCAUGGAACCACCAGUGAGCCAGAGCCCUGGAAGAACUAACAGAAUUAGAACGUCCUCCAGCUAUAAAUUGAACUGAGUUUGGUGCAUUGUUCAAUCCAUUUUAUUUAGUGAUUAGAGUUCUAGUUUGUUGUGGUAUAUGUAAAUGCUUUUGUUGUCAUCUUUAUCAUAAGAUGGCUUUUAUCUAUUUAUUUAUGUUAUGAUGAUUUUUAGAGAUUAUUUGAUUGAAUUAUUUUUUUUAAUCUUUAUUUCAUAAUAUAUAUAUUUUAGAACUGCUCCUUUGUGUGUAUAUAUAUAUAUACACACACCAAAAAUUUUAGAAUUUCUUAAGUUUACAUAUGUUCAAAAGAAUUGUGAUAUUUUUUACAUUUAUACUAAAAUAUAAUUGAUGUAAAAAAUUAUAAAAUUUACAACAUCUAUUUUAUCAUUUUUCUAAGUACUAAUUAAUAUUUUGUCCCAACUUGUAAUUUAAAUUUUUAACCAAAAGAAUUAAUAUAAUACAAUGCAAUGCAACACCAAAGAUAAGAUAAAUAAAAAUUAAUAUAGUACAAUAUAGUACCAAAUAUUAUAUAGCAUUAAUAUAAUACAAUGUUAACAUAAUACAGUCAAAAGCAACUUACCAAACGUUAAAUAAUACAAUGUAAUAUAACAUGUCAAACUCACCUUUACGAUGCAUUCUUCUAUAGACUCGUGAGGUAGUAAAAGUGGUCCAGCAGGGUAUAAACGCAUUGUUUCCUUGAUAAUGGCCUGCAAGUAAACCAAAUUCCUCGUCUGAUUCAUUCACUUGCCUUUCAGUGCCAACCUGAAUGUCUAAUUCGUCUUGUGCCUUCUUCAGAACAUCGGGAUUGUUCAGAAGCAAAGCAAUAGCCCAUGUCAAUGUAACUGCUGUGGUGUCUGUAGCCGCUACGAUUAGAGUCUGCAAAUUAAAAGCAGUAAGAAAUCUGUGACAUUCCUAUAACAAUGCAAACACAAACACACCACAAGCUUUUCAUGAGGUUAUAUUAUACCAAGCAGAUUGCUUUAAUGACAGUGUCAGCAUCGCGAUCAGGAAGCUGCUCUGCAUUAUCAUCAAGUAGCGACAACAACACAUAUAUGAAAUCCUCGUCGCCCUUGAUUUCACCAGAAACUCUUUUCAUCUUGUGCUCAUCCACCCAUUCUUGCAAAAUGAUGUCAAAAUAUUUAGCUGUCUUGCUCAUUAAUCUCUCAUAUCCACCGAUAUCUAACCGUCUCAGAAAUGGCAACGCAUCGGACACCACGAACUGACCAAACAAGGCAGCGAUCUUUGUUAUUUGCUGUUGCCAAUCAUUAGCCUCUUCUGAUUGUGAAGUGUGACGUUUUCCGGCAAUUAUUCUCAAAAUAAUGUCAAGUGCUGUGCCCUCGAGCCAAUGGAUCAUCUCCACCGAAACUACUUUACGUGAACUGCUGCUACUUAUGCAAUUCUUGUAUAACCUCUGGAUUGAAGCCUUCACUUCCGAUUCACGUACGUGUUUGAGCUUCUCAAGGCGACGAUUUGACAGAAGCUCAAUUGUCACUAUCUUACGUGACUGACGCCAGUAGUUGCCAUAUGGCGCGAAGCCUAUGACCAAAAAGUUGUACCCCAUAAGCUCUACGGCCAUUGUUUUGGGGCGACCUGCAAAAGCUUUGUCAUUUGUGGUAAAACACUCCUUUGCAAUUUCCCAGUUGCUCACCACUAAAGCUUGUUUCACCCCCCACUUCAUAGUGAAUAUUGUUCCAUAUUUGUCAGCCAGGUUGCCUAAAUAUUCACUAUGAAGUUGGGGGUGAAACAGGCUUUAGUGGUGAGCAACUGGGAAAUUGCUAAGGAGUGUUUUACCACAAAUGACAAAGCUUUUGCAAGUCGCCCCAAAAGAAUGGCCGUAGAGCUUAUGGGGUACAACUUUUCGGUCAUAGGCUUCGCACCAUAUGGCAAGUACUGGCGUCAGUCACGUAAGAUCCUAAGGCUGAAAUUGCUACAGCAGCAGUUGAUUCUGUUGAAAGAUUAUUCAUGGCCAUUCCUUUGCAGCCGACUCGGGGACUCUGAAUGAAGAGUUUAGUUCAGAGCAAUGUCUAUACAGUAUAUAGAUAACAUUCAAGUGUGCUUGACGUGAACGCAAGUUCUGCUCAUUGACAAACCUUUGCUAAUCCUAUGGUCAGUUUUAUACAUCAGGGACCACAAUGGCCAAGUUUUCGACAAUGGUAUCUUUUUCUGAUUCAUCAAUGACUUUAUACGGCCAAUUUGGUGGUUGCCAAACAAUUGUGAUAAAACAUAAAUACGACUUCUCUUGUAAUUUUAACCGUUAAAAUGGUUGAAGAUUAUGUUGGGAUAUGAUAUUUUUAUGGGAGGACUUGGUAAACUCCAUGUGCUAUAAAUAUCAGCCACAGAACACGGCACUUGUUUUAUUUUAUAGCCUGUUUGGGAGUGUGGUGAGAUAACUGGGUUCUCAAAGUCCAGCUAUUAAAGUGUUUGGUAAAAUUUAUAGUUGGGAUUUGGCAGCUUAGUAAAAUUUUUUUUCUAACUUUUAUUUCACAACUCUAACUUUUACUCCAUAACAAAUACAGCUUAAAAGCUACAUUACGUUACUUCCAAACACACCCUUAAUUAUGAAAAAUUGUCUGGGAUGACAAAAGUGCAUGGUCUUGAAUAUCAUGGGUCAGGAAGCGUAAACCAAACUACGGGGUCAGCAACACAAAUAAAAAUUGAUCUUUUGUCCAUCAAUUAAACAGUUUUAUCACUUGGGUCCACUCAGCUUUUUGUCAUUGCGAAAAUUCUAUUAAAUACCAAUUUUUUUUCACCCUUAGAUUUUUGUCCCUACCACUAUAUUACAACAAAUAAUAAUAAUAAUAAUAAUAAUAAUAAUAAUAAUAAUAAUAAUAAUUGUUUUAAUAUUUAGAAAAAGUCAUUUUGAACAUUAAUUAUUGAUAUCUUAUGAGUAUAAUAAGGUUUAGAAAAAGAUACAAAUAGUUAAAAAUAAAAAAACUUGAGGGACUUAAAUAUUAUUUCUUUAAAUAGAAAUCAUCGGUUAAUGUUUUUAAUAAUAAACAAUUAAAUUUGACUGAUGAUAUUCAAAUUCUUUUUAUUUUUUAUUCAGUCUAUUUCUUAAUCACCCCAUCAUUGAGUUUAAAAUACUUUUUCUUCCCCAAUAAAAUUUCCAUAAUUCUAAAUUUUCCCUCAUUUUCAGCUCUAUCAUUUUUCAAUCACCCAAUUUUUUACACUUUUAAAACUCCUUAACCAUGCCGGGCUCAAAAUCUCGAUGUAAUAUAAAUCAAGCAAGUGAAAUUCAAUCAAUUGUGUGAAACGGUUGGAGUGAUUGGAGAGGUAUCCAAGCAAAAGCCAUUAUCCAAGUAUGAAAAUCCAAAAUCAAUUAUUCCAAAAGGGUGUUAACAAGUUCUUGGAAUCUCUUAUUUGUGUUUCUUAAUAUAGACGUAUGAUUAGAGAGAUUUGGCUUUGUUAACAAAUUCAUCACAUACGGUAUAUAUAUGACAUGUCGUUUAUAGUUUUAUGGCAGACAACAUUUUGUAUAAUCUUUACUCGAGAGUGAAAAUUGAAUGACUUGUUCUUUAUAAACGUAAUGACAUAUCAGAUAAUGUUUAAAGAUCUUGUAUAAUGUAUCAUUUAUAUCUUCGAAUGUGAACCCUCUUCAAAUCUUUUUUCUCUACUAGUCUCUCCUAAGAAAAUGAGUAGUCAAGAUUGACUCUUGAAUUUUUGAAUUUUAAUGUUAAUAAUUUAGGCAGACUUGUUUCACUUUGUUUAUCAUUAAGUCAAUUUUUUUAAAACUAGAAUUGAAAUACUGAGAGAGAUUAAGAGAGAAAAAAAUGGACUAGGAAAGAAUCCGAAAUGAGAUUCAUUUUGGAGGACCCCACAGCAAUUUGAGAAUCAGUAUGGGAAUCUGAUUCUCAUUCCCAACAUUUUCCAUUUUGCCCGCAUUAAUUUUUUUUAUUCCAAAAAUACCCUCACUUUAGAUAAAAAAUAAAAAAAUCCCUAAACUUAAACUCUCUUGCCCAUGCCUCCCAAUCAAAUGCCAUUGGAGUGCUUCGAUUGCCAUCAUGGCCAUCACCAUCUUUGCCAUCAUGGUUCGUCGGUUGUGGACAGCUACUAGUUGCUAGUUUCAUAUAUAGGGUGGGCAAAUUAGAUUUCGGUUCGGGUUGUUCGGGUUUCGGUUUGGGUUUCAACCCAUUCGGUUUGGAAGAUUCAACCCAAUCGGGUUCAAACUACAAACCCGAACCAAAUUAAACCAAAUUUAAUUCGAUUUGAUUUGGUUUGGGUUAUAAAUUCGAGUUCGUUUAUAUUAUGUAACCAUAAUUUUAUCUCAUCCAAAAAAUGAAAAAAAUUAACUAAACAUCACACAAAUUUCCUAUAAUCUUAUUUAAAAAUUAACUGAUUAAUGUAUAGAAAUCUAAAUUUAACAUUUAACAAAAAAACAACAAUUAACAAAAGAAAACUAAGAAAUUAACUAACAAUUAAAAAUAAAUUAUUAAACAAUUAAUUAAUGGAGAUCAAAAAAUGCAGAAGAAUUAUUUGGCAAUGGAGGAAGAUAAUAAGAAGAAGAAGAAGAUGAUGAUGAUGAUGAUUGGCAAUAGCUGAAGGAAAGAAGAAGAAAAAGAAGAAGAUGUCUGGCAGUGUGUACGGAAAUAAGAAGAAGAAAAAGAGAAGAAAAAGAAAAGAAGAAGAUGACAUUUGUCAGUGGAGGAAAAAAAGGAAAAGAAGAAGAAGAAAGAGAAAAGAAGAUGAAGAAGAAGAAGUGGAAAAGUCAAGUGGCGGAUCAGAAAGUGAGAAGUGUGUGUUUGGGAGUUGUUAGGUUAGGGUUGGGUUUAUGUUUAUGUUUAUGAUUUUAAAUUUUUUUGACCCAAUCGGGUUUAGAUUUUUAACCCAAAUGAGUUGUAAGUUUCAACCCGAACCGAACCAAAAUCGAAAUAAAUUUUGAGUUCGGUUUGGAUCGGGUCAACCCGAUCCAAACGCCCACCCCUUUCAUAUCCGUUGGGCCGUGUCAAUUUCGUCGUUGUCUUAAUUUCGCCCCCAUCUCAUUUUAUCUUAGAUUUCGCCUCUGAUGGUGGUAGUUCUGAUAUGAUGAUGCUGCUGCUGCUAAUGACGAUGAUUGUUGUUGCCGUUGUUGUUGAUGACGAUGACAAUUUCGAUUUUGAUUAUUGCUAUAAUUUUUUUUGGGAAAUGGAUUAUUUUUUUUUGACGAUGAUUAUUUGGGAAAUGGAUUAAUUUGAUGAUGAUUAUUAUUAUUAUUUUGAAAAAGGAUUAUUUUGUUGAUGAUGAUGAUAUUUUAUUUUUAUUAUUAUUAUUAUGAUUAUUGUUAUUAAUUUUAUUAUUAUUAAUAAUAAUAAAUUUUAAUUAAUUAAUAUACUAACAACAUAUGAAUAUAACUAAUUAAUUUAUUAACAGAAAUUUUAUUAUUAAUAAUAAUAAUCAACAUCAUUAUCAUCAUCAUCAUCAUCAUCAUAAUAAUAAAUAGUUAUUAUUAUAAUUAACUAAGGGUACUUUAGUUACUUGAAAUAAUUUAACUUAUUAUGAUUCUGAUUCCAAGAGAAAAUAUAAACAUAUCAAUGAGAUUUCAACCCAUUGUGAUUCCGAUUCUUGUCUCAAAUAAACAAUAUAGUAUGAUUCUCAUUCCCCAUUCCCAUUUCACCUCAUUCCCAUAAGUGAUUAGGGUUCUAGUAUGUUGUGGUAUUUGUAAAAAAAAUUUGUUGUGAUCUUUAUUAUGAGAUGGCUUUAUCUAUUUAUUUAUGUUAUGAUAAUUUUUAAAGGUUAUUUGAUUGAAUUAUUUUCUUGGAUCUUUAUUUCACAAGAUAAAUAUUUGAGAACUGCUCAUACACACACACACACCAAAAAUUGUAGAAUUUCUUAAUUUUACAUACGUUCAAAAGAAUUAUGAUAUUUUUUACAUUUAUACUAAAAAUAAUUUAUGUAAAAAAUUAUAAAAUUCAGAACAUCUAUUUUAUCAUUUUUCUAAGUACUAAUUAAUUUUUUUCCCAACUUAUAAUUUAAAAUUUUUACCAAAAGAAUUAAUAUAAUGCAAUGCAAUGCAACACAAAAUAUAGGAUACAUAAAAAUUAAUAUAGUACAAAAUAAUACCAAAUAUUAUACACUAUUAACACAAUAUAUAUAAUGUUAAUAUAAUACAGUCAAAAGCAACUUACUAAACGUUCAAUAAUACAAGAUAGUAUAAUAUGCCAAACUCACCUUUAACAUAUGCAGUGUGCUAAACGCACAGUGAUGACACCCAAUGAUAUAAACGCACCUUAGUUGUUGAAAAGUACAACUUAAUUAUUUCCAUUAACAAGUACACAAGCUAAUUUUAACCAUAUAAAGAAGCAGAAAGGCGCGGACUAACAAGCACUUCAAGCGGAGUAGCCUUAGCAAUGGUUAGGCCCAUUGCCUCUCCCAUGUCAACCGGUUCAUCUGAUGGGGUUGUAAAAUCAAACCCAUGCACUAAUGAAGCAAGCAUUAGUUGCAUAACUUGGAGGCCAAAUGACACUGCAGGACACAUUCUUCUUCCACUCCCAAAUGGUAUCAAUUCAAAAUCUUGUCCCCCAACAUCAAUAUCCUUAUGCCUAGUAAGAAAUCUUUCUGGCUGAAAUUGACAUGGCUCCUCCCAAACACAUGGAUCGCGUUGAAUCUUCCAGGCGUUAACAAACAGUUGGGUGCCUGCAGGGACGAGGUAACCAUUGACGAUGCAUUCUUCUAUAGACUCGUGAGGUAGUAAAAGUGGUCCAGCAGGGUAUAAACGCAUUGUUUCCUUGAUAAUGGCCUGCAAGUAAACCAAAUUCCUCAUGUCUGAUUCAUUCACUUGCCUUUCAGUGCCAACCUGAAUGUCUAAUUCGUCUUGUGCCUUCUUCAGAACAUCG
This 17178-nucleotide long non-coding RNA is filed under the name Citrus sinensis (sweet orange). RNAcentral's name for it is "long non-coding RNA (CSIN_LNC003252)". The record is from RNAcentral. Lineage: Eukaryota; Viridiplantae; Streptophyta; Magnoliopsida; Sapindales; Rutaceae.